This 550-nucleotide ribosomal RNA is filed under the name uncultured bacterium. Its description in RNAcentral is "bacterial SSU rRNA". It matches the Rfam family "Bacterial small subunit ribosomal RNA", at positions 355 to 896 of the family's 1533-position model. The record is from RNAcentral.
UAGGGAAUCUUCCGCAAUGGACGCAAGUCUGACGGAGCAACGCCGCGUGAGUGAAGAAGGUUUUCGGAUCGUAAAACUCUGUUGUUAGAGAAGAACAAGUGCUAGAGUAACUGUUAGCGCCUUGACGGUAUCUAACCAGAAAGCCACGGCUAACUACGUGCCAGCAGCCGCGGUAAUACGUAGGUGGCAAGCGUUGUCCGGAUUUAUUGGGCGUAAAGCGAGCGCAGGCGGUUCCUUAAGUCUGAUGUGAAAGCCCCUGGCUCAACCGGGGAGGGUCAUUGGAAACUGGGGAACUUGAGUGCAGAAGAGGAGAGUGGAAUUCCAUGUGUAGCGGUGAAAUGCGUAGAUAUAUGGAGGAACACCAGUGGCGAAGGCGACUCUCUGGUCUGUAACUGACGCUGAGGCUCGAAAGCGUGGGUAGCAAACAGGAUUAGAUACCCUGGUAGUCCACGCCGUAAACGAUGAGUGCUAAGUGUUGGAGGGUUUCCGCCCUUCAGUGCUGCAGUUAACGCAUUAAGCACUCCGCCUGGGGAGUACGACCGCAAGGUUG